RNAcentral lists this ribosomal RNA (2697 nucleotides) under metagenome. RNAcentral describes it as "eukaryotic LSU rRNA". It matches the Rfam family "Eukaryotic large subunit ribosomal RNA", at positions 1 to 2929 of the family's 3401-position model. The record is from RNAcentral.
UAUUUGUAGAUUGUAUGACAGCGCGAUUGUUGUGAGGGUGAUCGCAGAACAUUGGAAAGCACUUUCACCUUUAGAUGGUCAACCGACCGCAGAUAUGAACUGGUCGCGUUCGUACUGAAGGUGUUCGUUAAAUUAAAGCAUUUUAUUCAACGAAGUAAAGUUUCACAGACGCGAUUCUUCGGUAAUAGCGAAUGAAGCAUGACACGGACAGUUCAAACUCAUCCACUACCUUGGCAUGAUUCAAGACGGGUGGCGAGCCGCACAGAUAANUGAUUUAAUUGCAAUAUGAUAGUUGCGUGGUGAUAGGCCAACAUGUUCCACGGCGGGCUUAUGUACUCAGUCUGCGCUAUUCUCAAUUGUCGAAACAUUAUUGUGAACUGAAGAUAUCCGCCUUCAUAACUUUAACUUGAUAAUCGGUCCGUCAGCAUACAAUUACUAUUUGGGUAAGGGCAAGGGCAAUUUGAAAAGGCGAUUUAUAUACGCAAUGCGUUGAUUGAAAACGAUUUGAAUCCGAUUACUGCUCGGCGUGCGCCGGGCCAAUCGACUGAGAACGAGACCUUUACUGCCUUAUCAAGGAAAUGAUACUGGUUCACGUUGAUGUUUAUAAACUUUGUCAGGAACAGUUCGACCCGUCUUGAAACAUGGACUAAGGAGUUUGACGUGUGGGCAAGUCCUGAUUUCGAAAGCUAACUGACGCAUUGAGAAAUUCAACGGCAAGGCAGAAACUCGUGGUUGUACUUCUAUGCGCUUCGCCGUCCACUAACCAAGGCCCGAAAGGUGAUGAACUAUAUCUUCUAAGAUCGAAUCUGGGAGAAAUUUCAGUGGAGGAUCGGAGCGUUGUUGACGUGCAAAUCACUCGCCACAUGACUAUAUAGGGGCGAUAGACUCAUCGAAUCAUCUAGUAGCUGGUUCCUACCAAAGUUUCCCNCAGGAUAGCUGAUUGUGCAGCGAUAUGUCAUGUAAAGAGUAUGAUGAAACAUGUCGACUGAUUUGUGUCGGCUUCCUCUUUCAGACUUUAAAUGGGCUCCCCGUCGUUGACUUUGGAAAAUGAAAUAAGAGAUCUCUCUCAGUGGGCCUCUUUUGGUAAACAGAUCUGGCGAUGAGGAAUGAACCUUCAAGCCGCGUAAUACGCACCUUCUCUUGGGAUUGUGGAUCGAAACAGUGCUGGUGAUUCGAAACAGUAGGACGGUGGUCAUGGAAGUCGAAACCCGUUAAGGAGUGUGUAAGAACUCACCUUCCGAAAUUUCCAACCUCAAAAAUGGAUUGCAUUCUUCUUUGUAUGGAAUAACGGUUUCGUGUGAGAUUAGUGGAGUCAAGUAGGUAGGUAGUUGAUGAUGCAAUGAUUGUUCGGCGCUGGCCGAUCAUAGCUAGUCGAUGAAAGGAUCUUGGUGAUAGUAGCGAUGAUUUAAUCAAAGCUGUAGAAGAGCAGGGUUCCUUGGGACCUGCAAGUGUGCAAGAGUAAGUUCCUUCUCAGUCGACAAUGUCAUCGGUCCCAAUUCUGACUCGCAAUGAUCUUCAGAGCAUAUUUUCUGAUCUGUGGUCUUGUCAAUGGAAACGUAUCAGCUGUUCUUACGAAGACUAGUUCUGACAAGGACACCUCAUCUCCUGUUGAUAGUACGAAAUACCUGUAGUUCGUUCCGAGGUGAAGGUAAAACCGACUCGUCAUAGUUUUUUAUGCGCAGCCACUAACUUCGGAAACGCUUUCUUCCCAGGAAAAGGAAUGGAACGAGAUACAUGCAACAAGGAUACUCACAUCCGCAUCAGGUUUCUGACGUCAAAUCCGUAUGGUUUGUAGUUCAAAGUAGGCAUGGUAAGUCGGCAACACGGAUCUGUACCUUUGGGACAUAGAUUGGCUUUGAACGCAGCACUGAUGAUCUUAGACAUCUAUACUAUUUCUGGUUUCCUGCGUGUUCAGAACUCGAUGCGAACAGGGAAAUUCGACUGUUUAAUUAAAACAAAGUCUUGCGUUGGUUCUCGGGCACAUGCACGCAAAAUGAUUUCUGCCCAGUGCUCUGAAUGUUGUCCUGAUGGAAAUCAAUUAAGCGCGGGUAAACGGCGGGAGUAACUAUGACUCUCUUAAGGUAGCCAAAUGCCUCGUCAUCCAAUUAGUGACGUGCAUGAAUGGAUUAGCGAGAUUUCUUCUGUCCCAGUCUAGUGUCUAGCGAAAUCACAGCCAUGGGAACGGGUGUGGGCAAUUCAGCGGGGAAAGAAGACCCUGUUGAGCUUGACUCUGGUCUCUUCGGAGGGAUGGUUUGGAGGGUGCAGGAUAUGUGGGAGUUCGCGCUUCACUGAAAUACCACUUCCUCUGAAAUCAUACGUCUUACUCGGCGAUGUUACAUGAUAUUCAAGAAUUUAUGCUGUUGACGGGAACCAAAGUGAUUGGGAGUUCGGCUGGGGCGGCACAUCUGUCAAAGGACAACGCAGGUGUUCGAAAUGUUGGCUCAACGUGGGCAGAAACCUCGUGUGGACUAGAAGGGGAUAUGCUGCCUUUAUUUGAAUCUAGUGCCAGGUUGAGCACGGUUAAAGCUUGACCUAUCGAUCCUUUGGUGAUAAUGUUGUUUUUCCUAGAGGUGUCAGAAAAGUUACCACAGGGAUAACUGGCUUGUGGCGGCCAAGCGUUCUCAGCGACGUCGCUUUUUGAUCCUUCGAUGUCGGCUCUUCCUAUCCUUCUGUCGCAGACGUCGGAAAGUGUUGGAU